Molecule: ribosomal RNA, 301 nt
Filed under: uncultured bacterium
Lineage: Bacteria
Description: partial 16S ribosomal RNA
Rfam family: Bacterial small subunit ribosomal RNA
Source: RNAcentral
CAGUCGCCGCGGUAAUACGAAGGGGGCUAGCGAUGUUCGGAUUUACUGGGCGUAAAGGGCGCGUAGGCGGGCGAAUAAGUCAGGGGUGAAAUCCCAAGGCUCAACCUUGGAACUGCCUUUGAUACUGUUUGUCUUGAGUUCGAGAGAGGUAAGUGGAACUGCGAGUGCAGAGGUGAAAUUCGUAGAUAUUCGCAAGAACACCAGUGGCGAAGGCGGCUUACUGGCUCGAAACUGACGCUGAGGCGCGAAAGCGUGGGGAGCAAACAGGAUUAGAGACCCCAGUAGUCCCUGUCUCUUAUAU